This is a long non-coding RNA of Branchiostoma belcheri (Belcher's lancelet), 264 nucleotides long. RefSeq lists it as uncharacterized. The transcript is spliced from 2 exons. NCBI's taxonomy places the organism in Eukaryota, Metazoa, Chordata, Leptocardii, Amphioxiformes, Branchiostomatidae. The record is from RefSeq and is a predicted model, not a curated record.
GCACCCGUCCUUCACUUCUGGGUGAAGCAGAAACCAGAGAGACCAGCUCCAAAGAAGAGAUGUUCUCCCACCAAGAAAAACUUCAAAAAGAAAGGAGUGUGGACUUAACAAGAUUGAUGAACCUGAGGACUCCUCCGCUAGUUGUUCGGAUCCUGGUCUCGACACCAACAUGGCUAUACUUCAACCUGACCUGGCAACAUCCCCAUCACCGACUGCACUGCCAUCACAGACCACAUCUUCACCAUGCUUACCUGACAAACUUUU